CGUAGGUCCCGAGCGUUGUCCGGAUUUAUUGGGCGUAAGGCGAGCGCAGGCGGUUUGAUAAGUCUGAAGUUAAAGGCUGUGGCUCAACCAUAGUUCGCUUUGGAAACUGUCAAACUUGAGUGCAGAAGGGGAGAGUGGAAUUCCAUGUGUAGCGGUGAAAUGCGUAGAUAUAUGGAGGAACACCGGUGGCGAAAGCGGCUCUCUGGUCUGUAACUGACGCUGAGGCUCGAAAGCGUGGGGAGCGA
This 245-nucleotide ribosomal RNA is filed under the name uncultured bacterium. RNAcentral's name for it is "partial 16S ribosomal RNA". It matches the Rfam family "Bacterial small subunit ribosomal RNA", at positions 526 to 771 of the family's 1533-position model. The record is from RNAcentral.